This 73-nucleotide transfer RNA is filed under the name Tentoriceps cristatus (crested hairtail). Its description in RNAcentral is "tRNA-Asp". It matches the Rfam family "tRNA". Rfam says of the family: Transfer RNA (tRNA) molecules are approximately 80 nucleotides in length. Their secondary structure includes four short double-helical elements and three loops (D, anti-codon, and T loops). Further hydrogen bonds mediate the characteristic L-shaped molecular structure. tRNAs have two regions of fundamental functional importance: the anti-codon, which is responsible for specific mRNA codon recognition, and the 3' end, to which the tRNAs corresponding amino acid is attached (by aminoacyl-tRNA synthetases). tRNAs cope with the degeneracy of the genetic code in two manners: having more than one tRNA (with a specific anti-codon) for a particular amino acid; and 'wobble' base-pairing, i.e. permitting non-standard base-pairing at the 3rd anti-codon position. The record is from RNAcentral. Lineage: Eukaryota; Metazoa; Chordata; Actinopteri; Scombriformes; Trichiuridae.
AAGAUACUAGUAAAACAAGACAUUAUACCUCCUUGUCAAGGAGAAGUUGUAGGUUCAACCCCUUCGUUUCUUA